Molecule: ribosomal RNA, 468 nt
Filed under: uncultured bacterium
Lineage: Bacteria
Description: partial 16S ribosomal RNA
Rfam family: Bacterial small subunit ribosomal RNA
Source: RNAcentral
GACGAACGCUGGCGGCGUGCUUAACACAUGCAAGUCGAACGGACAGGCGCUGCGCUUGCGGGGCGCUCGAGUGGGGAACGGGUGAGUAACACGCGUGUAACCUGCCCCUGUCUUUGGGGUAACUUCAGGAGACAGGGGCUAAUACCGGGUAGGAGCUCUUGCUGCGUGGUGGGGGUUGGAAAGUUUCGGCGGUUGGGGAUGGACUCGCUGCUUAUCCGCUUGUUUGUGGGGUAGUGGCUUACCAAGGUUUUGACGGGUAGCCGGCCUGAGAGGGUGACCGGGCACAAGAGGACUGAGAGACGGCGCAGAAUCCAACGGGAGGCAGCAGUGGGGAAUAUGGCACAAUGGGCGGAAGCCAGAGGCAGCAACGCCGCGUGCGGGAUGACGGGCUUCGGGUUGUAAACCGCUGUCGACUGUGACGAAGAGUGAGUGACGGUAAUGGGUAAGGAAGCACCGGCUAACUACGUG